GUGCGACACCCUGAAUUUCCGGAUCGACAAGGACCGAUCGAUUUUUCCCCUUCCUCCUGUGCCGCUCGCGUGGGCGGCUCUGAAGGCGCUAACCCUAGCCCCGCGAGUGCCUCCCUCCCCGAGCUCCCCUGGCUGUCGACGCCGGCGGCGGUGGCGGCGCUCGGCCGUCGAAGGCGGCGGGCGAAGUCGUUGCGCCCCGACGGGCCUCCCACGCGCGGGGGAGUGGCGUCAUGCGGGCGACGCGGUGGUCUCUCCGGUGUGGAGGCGGGUGGCGCGGCGGGCGGUGAGGUGCGCACAGGGAGGCGGAGCAUGGCCGCGGGAUUGUGGAUGAGGUGCUGGUGUGCGGCGCUUCUCCUGAGAGCGCCUGGCGGUUGUUGGAGGGGGCGGCGCGCCCGGGCAUCAAGGCGGCUGAUCUCGGCCAGGUGGGCUGCACAAGCGGCGGUCGGCAGCGGGCUCAGAUUGCGUCGGCGGCGGCGGGGUCUAUCUCCUCCGUCGAUCAGCGACGGCGUGGGACACCCCGGGCUCGGCCGUGAAGAUGGAUUUCUCCGGCUAGGCAAUCGACUCCGCAAAUCUGUUCCUCGAACUUGCACCAGGGAUGCAUAAUGCCCCUGCGGCCGUUCCUACAGGGAGGCACACUGGUUGAACCACUGAAAGGGAGCACAUAAAGCUGCAGAGGCAACAACUCCAAAGGAAUCAGUGUGAUUGCUGUAAUUUGAGAAGGCACUGAUAUAACACUGAUAUUACUGAAGAAAUCAUUUCUGCAACACUCGAUCUUGAGUCUGCACUUGCUAACAGAGAUGCACCCAAAACACGAUACUCCUGAUUGUUUGAUUGGUAACAAUCCUCUCGCAGAAAACUCUAAUUAGAUUCCUUUUACUUUCCAAAUCUUGACAUUUUGCAUUUUAAUUAUUAUCCUAUAUGCACGGUAUCAUAGAAAAUUAUUGCUAAUGUCUACAUUGGAAAGGAUCCAAACUAUAAACAAGUAAUUGGUGAUGUUAUCGACUAGGGCUUUCUUUCACAACUCACUGCCGAUGUUGUUAAUUUAUCUUGCAUCUCCGCCUCCUUGGCAUUAUCCUUUUUGUAGUUAAGCAUGAACAUGAUUUAGAUGCUCAUAUUCAGGUAGCAUUCUUGGGUGAGCUAUUGAUUUUUGUUUCAGUGCGAGACAAUUUUUUUAAUAUUAUUAUUUUGCUCCUCAUUUUGUCUAGGUAGCAUAGGAUUAUACCACCGAUAAUUCUUAGUAGGAUUUGCUGCACAACAGGCAUGGUGCACACACAUGCCUGCAUAUUUGUCAAUAUUCUAUCAGAAGCAGUUUGUUGCGCACUUAAGUGUAACAGAAGGUGUGCUACUGUUUCCACAUCUCCUUGUGCUAAUCACUAAUAUUUUUUUCCAAGUCUUUUCUUCCUUUUUGUAAUGACCCUGAAAUAGUUUCAGCAUUGGAGUCAGUUUCUUCGUUGUCUUCAGUGUUCUUAUGGCAAAGGAAGUCCCCUGUUUGUAUAGGCGAUUGUGUGCACAUGAAUAUUUUUCAUAAUAUACAAUUAAAUUUUAUAGUAAACACUUCUAUGAUGGUGAAGUUUUUUCUGGAUCUGACCAAGAUGAACAAUGUAACCUGGGACAAUACUUUAUAUCAUAGGAAAUUUUCCAAGUCUUCAGUGUUCUUAUCUUCGACAUAUUCAGUGUUCUUUCCUUCAGAAUCCCUGUAAUUUUUUUUUCAGCAUGACUUAGCACAGUUAACUGAAGAUGUUCCGUUGUCUAAACAUGCUGAUGGCGAAGCAAAUGUUCAGGUAUACCGGAAACCUGUGUAGCUAUACAAAUAUAACUUGGUAGCACACUUUACUGUAGUAAGAUGUUUAUAUGCAAAAGUAUUAAAAACUGAUAUACCAAGACUACCGUGAGUCAUGCAUGUCCGUGCCUUCCAGGUGAUGUGCCCAACAUUCUUCUGCACAAGAAUGGCUAUGAGAGCUGAGCGUGAACCACAUAUAUCACUUUGAUUAAAGUUGGGUAAUUUGAGGUGUGCCUGCUGGUUAUGCAAAAAAUAUAUUUUGUCUAGAAUUGUUUUCUAUUGUUGUGGUAAAGCUUGAAUCAGAUUUUGUUGUAUACUAUGAAGAGUUACAGCAACAUGAAGCUGUCACACCAUAUCACUUUGGAUGCCUGCAGGCUGGAGCCGAGUCGCGUUUGGUCACACAUUGGAGCUGUUCUUGUGAACUUGGGUGAUGAGCGGGUGGCAUUUGUACCUAAAGGGUAUCGAGUGUCGAAUGUUUUUUUAUCUCCUUUGUUAUUCUGAUUGUGCGAUUCACAUUAUCAAUCAUUCGACAAUUAUAGUUUUGAUGUUAUAGUUCCAUCUCAAUCAUUCAUUUGAGAUUUACAUAUAUAUGAUUUGUGCACAGGAUGACCAAAUACUGCAGAGGAACUUUUUAAUCGAUGAUGGGAAAUCAUGGUGGUUUAUGAUCCUUGCAAGUGUAUGAGAAUAUCUUUGCCACAUCACAGGACAAACAAUUUGAAAGAGAGUUGUAGUGAAAGUUGGCUAUCAUGAUGUGAACUUGCAUAUUUUAAUCCAAACGACGUAUUUGAAUUAUGUGUUUAGUGUCCUUUGUGAAUAUGUGUUUGCACUGUGGUCAUUUUCCUACUAUGUACGGUCUACACUUGCAAUGCAAAGCUGUAUAGAAUAGGACAAGAUCAUUUCCCUGCUCCA
This is a long non-coding RNA of Triticum dicoccoides, 2689 nucleotides long. RefSeq lists it as uncharacterized. NCBI's taxonomy places the organism in Eukaryota, Viridiplantae, Streptophyta, Magnoliopsida, Poales, Poaceae. The record is from RefSeq and is a predicted model, not a curated record. The transcript has 3 exons.